Molecule: ribosomal RNA, 228 nt
Filed under: uncultured bacterium
Lineage: Bacteria
Description: partial 16S ribosomal RNA
Rfam family: Bacterial small subunit ribosomal RNA
Source: RNAcentral
CAUGUAGGCGGCAUGACAAGUCUGGUGUGAAAUAUCUCGGCUCAACCGAGAAAACGCACUGGAAACUAUCAAGCUUGAGUAUCGGAGGGGAAGCUAGAAUUCCUGGUGUAGGGGUGAAAUCUGUAGAUAUCAGGAAGAAUACCGGUGGCGAAGGCGAGCUUCUGGCCAGAUACUGACGCUGAGAUGCGAAAGCGUGGGGAGCGAACAGGAUUAGAUACCCUGGUAGUC